This 483-nucleotide ribosomal RNA is filed under the name uncultured bacterium. RNAcentral describes it as "partial 16S ribosomal RNA". It matches the Rfam family "Bacterial small subunit ribosomal RNA", at positions 28 to 507 of the family's 1533-position model. The record is from RNAcentral.
GACGAACGCUGGCGGCGUGCUUAACACAUGCAAGUCGAACGCUGAAGCUCAGCUUUUGUUGGGUGGAUGAGUGGCGAACGGGUGAGUAACACGUGAGUAACCUGCCUCCUUCUUUGGGAUAACGCCCGGAAACGGGUGCUAAUACUGGAUAUUCACUGGUCUUCGCAUGGGGGUUGGUGGAAAGGGUUUUUCUGGUGGGGGAUGGGCUCGCGGCCUAUCAGCUUGUUGGUGGGGUGAUGGCCUACCAAGGCUUUGACGGGUAGCCGGCCCGAGAGGGUGACCGGUCACAUUGGGACUGAGAUAGGGCCCAGACUCCGACGGGAGGCAGCAGUGGGGAAUAUUGGGCAAUGGGCGCAAGCCUGAUGCAGCGACGCCGCGUGAGGGAUGGAGGCCUUCGGGUUGUGAACCUCUUUCGCUCAUGGUCAAGCCGCAACAAUGGUUGUGGUGAGGGUAGUGGGUAAAGAAGCGCCGGCUAACUACGUG